GAUAUGAACAUGUAUAAAAAGGGAAAAUUAAGUAAGUUCAGUCCACCUGUGUAACUUCUGAUACAACGUUAGCAAUAGCUGAUUUAGCAUCCUCCUCAAUGAAGCAAUUUCUGAACUUCAUUUGGUUAUAGGUUAAACUCCCAACAUAAUCAUCUCAACCAAGUUCCUAGUUCAAAUUUGAAGUCUGAGAGUCAAAUGAUUUCUCAGGCAUUUUAUCGAACAGAUGGAGGUUGAGCAUUUGGUAUGUUACGAAUUUUGGGUUCUUAGGCUUAGAAAGCUUCUGGUAUUACUGUUUAUUUGGUUUGUUGAUGAUCUUACAGGGGAAAAUCCCAAAUAGGAAACAAAAUAAACAUUAGCUGAUGGAGUAUUCAUCGAUCACACACCCAUAUAAAAGAGAUCUGACUAGAACAUCACCAUCUGAUAAAACUGGUUAUUCAUAAGAGUGCUGACAGAAUCUGAAAUACAUUCUCAAACGACCCAAAAAAAUCAUCCAACCACACAAGACGAUAUCAAAUGAUCAACAAAGCCACAUAAACACGUUCUGAAAUAAGCCUACCAGACACGCUUAAUCAAGAUUUUACAGAAAAAACAAAAAACCCAAUAACGAGAUAGAGAAGGAAACCCUAAAAACGAUCGAUAAAACUACAGAAAAACUAUGUAGUUUCCUUCUGUUUUAAUGUUGCAAUACAACUUAUGCAGCAGUGCAGUUAGAAAAUCAGAUUUUACAGGGAAAAAAACAGCCAAUCAGAUAAAAGAGAAUUAAAAAAAAGCAACAACUAAACUUCGAUCUUUUCUUGUUCGUACAUACAGAGGAAACUUCAACUCGAAAUUAGAGAAAAAACCUAUAGAACUAAAAUAAACAGGAGAAGAGAAAAUGAUAAGAAUGAAAACUUACAAUGAUCUUGAUAAUUUCUUUGGAUUAUAGACAUGUUUGUGAGUGUCCUGCGAAGGAUGGGGCUGCUUGGGUCUCAGGGGAGCGGAGUCAAAAAGAUCGGGAUGAGUCUCCGGCGGUGUUUGGAGCAACG
RNAcentral lists this long non-coding RNA (1025 nucleotides) under Lactuca sativa (garden lettuce). RNAcentral's name for it is "long non-coding RNA (LSAT_LNC005922)". Lineage: Eukaryota; Viridiplantae; Streptophyta; Magnoliopsida; Asterales; Asteraceae. The record is from RNAcentral.